This 883-nucleotide ribosomal RNA is filed under the name Arthrobacter sp. 27S5A. RNAcentral's name for it is "bacterial SSU rRNA". It matches the Rfam family "Bacterial small subunit ribosomal RNA", at positions 57 to 950 of the family's 1533-position model. The record is from RNAcentral. Lineage: Bacteria; Bacillati; Actinomycetota; Actinomycetes; Micrococcales; Micrococcaceae.
GGCAGUCGUACGAUGAUCCCAGCUUGCUGGGGGAUUAGUGGCGAACGGGUGAGUAACACGUGAGUAACCUGCCCUUGACUCUGGGAUAAGCCUGGGAAACUGGGUCUAAUACCGGAUAUGACUCCUCAUCGCAUGGUGGGGGGUGGAAAGCUUUUGUGGUUUUGGAUGGACUCGCGGCCUAUCAGCUUGUUGGUGGGGUAAUGGCCUACCAAGGCGACGACGGGUAGCCGGCCUGAGAGGGUGACCGGCCACACUGGGACUGAGACACGGCCCAGACUCCUACGGGAGGCAGCAGUGGGGAAUAUUGCACAAUGGGCGCAAGCCUGAUGCAGCGACGCCGCGUGAGGGAUGACGGCCUUCGGGUUGUAAACCUCUUUCAGUAGGGAAGAAGCGUAAGUGACGGUACCUGCAGAAGAAGCGCCGGCUAACUACGUGCCAGCAGCCGCGGUUAAUACGUAGGGCGCAAGCGUUAUCCGGAAUUAUUGGGCGUAAAGAGCUCGUAGGCGGUUUGUCGCGUCUGCUGUGAAAGACCGGGGCUCAACUCCGGUUCUGCAGUGGGUACGGGCAGACUAGAGUGCAGUAGGGGAGACUGGAAUUCCUGGUGUAGCGGUGAAAUGCGCAUAUAUCAGGAGGAACACCGAUGGCGAAGGCAGGUCUCUGGGCUGUAACUGACGCUGACGAACGAAAGCUUGGCGAGCGAACAGUAUUAUAUACCCUGGUAGUCCAUGCCGUAAACGUUGGGCACUAAGUGUGGGGGACAUUCCACGUUUUCCGCCCCGUAGCUAACGCUUUAAGUGCCCCUCCCUGGGGAGUACGGCCCCAAGGCUUAAAACCAAAGGAAUUUGACGGGGCCCCCCACAGACGGCGGAACCUUGGGAAUAAU